Molecule: ribosomal RNA, 848 nt
Filed under: Streptomyces griseorubiginosus
Lineage: Bacteria; Bacillati; Actinomycetota; Actinomycetes; Kitasatosporales; Streptomycetaceae
Description: bacterial SSU rRNA
Rfam family: Bacterial small subunit ribosomal RNA
Source: RNAcentral
AUGCAGUCGAACGAUGACACUUCGGUGGGGAUUAGUGGCGAACGGGUGAGUAACACGUGGGUAAUCUGCCCUUCACUCUGGGACAAGCCCUGGAAACSGGGUCUAAUACCGGAUAUCACUGCCAUGGGCAUCUGUGGUGGUUGAAAGCUCCGGCGGUGAAGGAUGAGCCCGCGGCCUAUCAGCUUGUUGGUGAGGUAACGGCUCACCAAGGCGACGACGGGUAGCCGGCCUGAGAGGGCGACCGGCCACACUGGGACUGAGACACGGCCCAGACUCCUACGGGAGGCAGCAGUGGGGAAUAUUGCACAAUGGGCGCAAGCCUGAUGCAGCGACGCCGCGUGAGGGAUGACGGCCUUCGGGUUGUAAACCUCUUUCAGCAGGGAAGAAGCGAAAGUGACGGUACCUGCAGAAGAAGCGCCGGCUAACUACGUGCCAGCAGCCGCGGUAAUACGUAGGGCGCAAGCGUUGUCCGGAAUUAUUGGGCGUAAAGAGCUCGUAGGCGGCUUGUCACGUCGGGUGUGAAAGCCCGGGGCUUAACCCCGGGUCUGCAUUCGAUACGGGCAGGCUAGAGUGUGGUAGGGGAGAUCGGAAUUCCUGGUGUAGCGGUGAAAUGCGCAGAUAUCACGAGGAACACCGGUGGCGAARGCGGAUCUCUGGGCCAUUACUGACGCUGAGGAGCGAAAGCGUGGGGAGCGAACAGGAUUAGAUACCCUGGUAGUCCACGCCGUAAACGGUGGGAACUAGGUGUUGGCGACAUUCCACGUCGUCGGUGCCGCAGCUACGCAUUAGUUCCCCCGCCUGGGGGAGUACGGCGCAGGCUAAACUCAAGGAAUGAYGGGGGCCGCACA